RNAcentral lists this ribosomal RNA (464 nucleotides) under Vreelandella stevensii. Its description in RNAcentral is "partial 16S ribosomal RNA". It matches the Rfam family "Bacterial small subunit ribosomal RNA", at positions 338 to 795 of the family's 1533-position model. The record is from RNAcentral. Lineage: Bacteria; Pseudomonadati; Pseudomonadota; Gammaproteobacteria; Oceanospirillales; Halomonadaceae.
UCUAGGGCGGCAGCAGUGGGGAAUAUUGGACAAUGGGCGAAAGCCUGAUCCAGCCAUGCCGCGUGUGUGAAGAAGGCCUUCGGGUUGUAAAGCACUUUCAGUGGGGAAGAAAGCCUUGGGGCUAAUACCCUCGAGGAAGGACAUCACCCACAGAAGAAGCACCGGCUAACUCCGUGCCAGCAGCCGCGGUAAUACGGAGGGUGCGAGCGUUAAUCGGAAUUACUGGGCGUAAAGCGCGCGUAGGCGGUCUGAUAAGCCGGUUGUGAAAGCCCCGGGCUCAACCUGGGAACGGCAUCCGGAACUGUCAGGCUAGAGUGCAGGAGAGGAAGGUAGAAUUCCCGGUGUAGCGGUGAAAUGCGUAGAGAUCGGGAGGAAUACCAGUGGCGAAGGCGGCCUUCUGGACUGACACUGACGCUGAGGUGCGAAAGCGUGGGUAGCAAACAGGAUUAGAUACCCGUGUAGUC